Molecule: ribosomal RNA, 283 nt
Filed under: uncultured Spirotrichea
Lineage: Eukaryota; Ciliophora; Spirotrichea
Description: partial small subunit ribosomal RNA
Rfam family: Eukaryotic small subunit ribosomal RNA
Source: RNAcentral
AGCCGACUUUUGGGAGGGCUGUAUUUAUUGAUAACAGACCAAUAUUCCUUGUGAAAUAGGGGUGACUCAUAGUAACUGAUCGGAUCGCAUGGGUUUGCCCGCGACAAACCAUUCAAGUUUCUGCCCCAUCAGCUUUCGAUGGUGGUGUAUUGGACUACCAUGGCUUUUACGGGUAACGGAGGAUUAGGGUUCGAUUCCGGAGAGGGAGCCUGAGAAACGGCUACCACAUCUAAGGAAGGCAGCAGGCGCGUAAAUUACCCAAUACUGACUCAGUGAGGUAGUG